This 501-nucleotide ribosomal RNA is filed under the name uncultured bacterium. RNAcentral's name for it is "partial 16S ribosomal RNA". It matches the Rfam family "Bacterial small subunit ribosomal RNA", at positions 30 to 523 of the family's 1533-position model. The record is from RNAcentral.
AUUGAACGCUGGCGGCAGGCUUAACACAUGCAAGUCGAGCGGGGGAAGGUAGCUUGCUACCGGACCUAGCGGCGGACGGGUGAGUAAUGCUUAGGAAUCUGCCUAUUAGUGGGGGACAACAUCUCGAAAGGGAUGCUAAUACCGCAUACGUCCUACGGGCGAAAGCAGGGGAUCUUCGGACCUUGCGCUAAUAGAUGAGCCUAAGUCGGAUUAGCUAGUUGGUGGGGCAAAGGCCUACCAAGGCGACGAUCUGUAGCGGGUCCGAGAGGAUGAUCCGCCACACUGGGACUGAGACACGGCCCAGACUCCUACGGGAGGCAGCAGUGGGGAAUAUUGGACAAUGGGGGGAACCCUGAUCCAGCCAUGCCGCGUGUGUGAAGAAGGCCUUAUGGUUGUAAAGCACUUUAAGCGAGGAGGAGGCUACUCUAGUUAAUACCUAGGGAUAGUGGACGUUACUCGCAGAAUAAGCACUGGCUAACUCUGUGCCAGCCGCCGCAGUAA